RNAcentral lists this small nuclear RNA (280 nucleotides) under Castor canadensis (American beaver). RNAcentral describes it as "7SK RNA (ENSCCNG00000001198.1)". It matches the Rfam family "7SK RNA". Rfam says of the family: 7SK was discovered as an abundant small nuclear RNA in the mid-70s but a possible function has only recently been suggested. The record is from Rfam by way of RNAcentral. Lineage: Eukaryota; Metazoa; Chordata; Mammalia; Rodentia; Castoridae.
GGAUGUGCAGGGAUCUGGGACAUCUGUCACCCCAUUGAUGUCAGGGUUGAUCUGGCUGAUCUGGCUUAGCUAAGUGAGUGUCCCCUUCCUCCUUCACUGCUCCCCAUGUGUCCCUCCUGAGGCUGCAUGCUGAGCAGAAGAGGAUGUCCUUCCUGGUAGAGGAGGACCAUUCUUCUUACACUGCCCUGCCAGAACCCCCAAACAAGCUCUCAGACAUCCCCCAUGUUCUGUGAGAUUCUGAUUUAUGCUUUUCCCCAACGCUUCCCUUGGAAGUCACUGG